RNAcentral lists this ribosomal RNA (483 nucleotides) under uncultured bacterium. Its description in RNAcentral is "partial 16S ribosomal RNA". It matches the Rfam family "Bacterial small subunit ribosomal RNA", at positions 28 to 507 of the family's 1533-position model. The record is from RNAcentral.
GAUGAACGCUGGCGGCGUGCCUAACACAUGCAAGUCGAACGGAGUCGUUUUGGAAAUCUCUUCGGAGAUGGAAUUCUCGACUUAGUGGCGGACGGGUGAGUAACGCGUGAGCAAUCUGCCUUUAAGAGGGGGAUAACAGUCGGAAACGGCUGCUAAUACCGCAUAAAGCAUUAAAUUCGCAUGUUUUUGAUGCCAAAGGAGCAAUCCGCUUUUAGAUGAGCUCGCGUCUGAUUAGCUAGUUGGCGGGGUAACGGCCCACCAAGGCGACGAUCAGUAGCCGGACUGAGAGGUUGAACGGCCACAUGGGGACUGAGACACGGCCCAGACUCCUACGGGAGGCAGCAGUGGGGAAUAGUGCGCAAUGGGGGAAACCCUGACGCAGCAACGCCGCGUGAUAGAAGAAGGCCUUCGGGUUGUAAAGAUCUUUAAUCAGGGACGAAACAAAUGACGGUACCUGAAGAAUAAGCUCCGGCUAACUACGUG